GAUGAACGCUGGCGGCGUGCCUAAUACAUGCAAGUCGAGCGAACAGACGAGGAGCUUGCUCCUCUGACGUUAGCGGCGGACGGGUGAGUAACACGUGUAUAACCUACCUAUAAGACUGGGAUAACUUCGGGAAACCGGAGCUAAUAGCGGAUAAGAUAUUGAACCGCAUGGUUCAAUAGUGAAAGACGGUGUUGCUGUCACUUAUAGAUGGAUCCGCGCCGCAUUAGGUGGUUGGUAAGGUAACGGGUUAGCAAGGCAACGAUGCGCAGGCGACGUGAGAGGCUGAUCGGCCACACUGGAACUGAGCCACGCUCAAGACUCCUACGGGAGGCAGCAGUAGGGAAUCUUCCGCAAUGGGCGAAAGCCUGACGGAGCAGCGCCGCGUGAGUGAUGAAGGUCUUCGGAUCGUAAAACUCUGUUAUUAGGGAAGAACAAAUGUGUAAGUAACUAUGCCCGUAUUGACGGUACCUAAUCAGAAAGCCCCGGCUAACUACGUG
Molecule: ribosomal RNA, 497 nt
Filed under: uncultured bacterium
Lineage: Bacteria
Description: partial 16S ribosomal RNA
Rfam family: Bacterial small subunit ribosomal RNA
Source: RNAcentral